Molecule: ribosomal RNA, 118 nt
Filed under: Blautia obeum
Lineage: Bacteria; Bacillati; Bacillota; Clostridia; Lachnospirales; Lachnospiraceae
Also listed under: 1 other name
Source: RNAcentral
UCCGGUAGCGAUGCGCUUAGGGGAAACACCCGUUCCCAUCCCGAACACGACGGUUAAGACCUAAGCGGCCGAUGGUACUGCACUGGAGACGGUGUGGGAGAGCAGGUGGCUGCCGGAU